UACAGAGGGGGCAAGCGUUAUUCGGAAUUAUUGGGCGUAAAGGGCGCGUAGGCGGCUUUGCAAGUGACGGGUGAAAUCCCUCGGCUUAACCGAGGAACUGCCUGUCAGACUGCAUGGCUUGAGUCCGGGAGAGGUGAGUGGAACUGCGAGUGUAGAGGUGAAAUUCGUAGAUAUUCGCAAGAACACCAGUGGCGAAGGCGGCUCACUGGCCCGGUACUGACGCUGAGGUGCGAAAGCGUGGGGAGCAAACAGG
This 253-nucleotide ribosomal RNA is filed under the name uncultured bacterium. Its description in RNAcentral is "partial 16S ribosomal RNA". It matches the Rfam family "Bacterial small subunit ribosomal RNA", at positions 524 to 776 of the family's 1533-position model. The record is from RNAcentral.